UACAUAGGGAGCAAGCGUUAUCCGGAAUUAUUGGGUGUAAAGGGUGCGUAGAUGGGUGUUUAAGUUAGUUGUGAAAUCCCUCGGCUUAACUGAGGAACUGCAACUAAAACUGGACAUCUUGAGUGCGGGAGAGGAAAGUGGAAUUCCUAGUGUAGCGGUGAAAUGCGUAGAUAUUAGGAGGAACACCAGUGGCGAAGGCGACUUUCUGGACCGUAGCUGACAUUGAGGCACGAAAGUGUGGGGAGCAAAC
This 250-nucleotide ribosomal RNA is filed under the name uncultured prokaryote. RNAcentral's name for it is "partial 16S ribosomal RNA". It matches the Rfam family "Bacterial small subunit ribosomal RNA", at positions 524 to 773 of the family's 1533-position model. The record is from RNAcentral.